This 492-nucleotide ribosomal RNA is filed under the name uncultured bacterium. Its description in RNAcentral is "partial 16S ribosomal RNA". It matches the Rfam family "Bacterial small subunit ribosomal RNA", at positions 29 to 507 of the family's 1533-position model. The record is from RNAcentral.
AGUGAACGCUGGCGGUAGGCCUAACACAUGCAAGUCGAACGGCAGCACAGUAAGAGCUUGCUCUUACGGGUGGCGAGUGGCGGACGGGUGAGGAAUACAUCGGAAUCUACUUUUUCGUGGGGGAUAACGUAGGGAAACUUACGCUAAUACCGCAUACGACCUACGGGUGAAAGCAGGGGAUCUUCGGACCUUGCGCGAUUGAAUGAGCUGAUGUCGGAUUAGCUAGUUGGCGAGGUAAAGGCCCACCAAGGCGACGAUCCGUAGCUGGUCUGAGAGGAUGAUCAGCCACACUGGAACUGAGACACGGUCCAGACUCCUACGGGAGGCAGCAGUGGGGAAUAUUGGACAAUGGGCGAAAGCCUGAUCCAGCCAUACCGCGUGAGUGAAGAAGGCCUUCGGAUUGUAAAGCCCUUUUGUUGGGAAAGAAAAGCAGCAGGAUAAUACCCCGAUGUUCUGACGGUACCCAAAGAAUAAGCACCGGCUAACUUCGUG